UGGAGGAACAGCCCCAGUGGCCGCCGCCAGCUCUGCAGCCCUGGAAUCAGCCCCCGCAGUAACUCCGGAGCUCUCCGUCUGCAGGGCCUGGAGGCUCCGGGGCGGG
Molecule: non-coding RNA, 106 nt
Organism: Canis lupus familiaris (dog)
Lineage: Eukaryota; Metazoa; Chordata; Mammalia; Carnivora; Canidae
Source: Rfam